AUACGGAGGAUGCAAGCGUUAUCCGGAUUUAUUGGGUUUAAAGGGUGCGUAGGCGGAUGAUUAAGCGUGAGGUGAAAUGCCACUGCUCAACAGUGGAACUGCCUCGCGAACUGGUUGUCUUGAAUGCUCCUGCCGUGGGUGGAAUGUGUGGUGUAGCGGUGAAAUGCAUAGAGAUCACACAGAACACCGAUUGCGAAGGCAUCUCACGAAGGGGUGAUUGACGCUGAGGCACGAAAGCGUGGAGAUCAAACAGGAUUAGAUACCCUGGUAGUCCACGCAGUAAACGAUGAUGACUAACCGUCGGCGAUACACAGUCGGUGGCCAAGCGAAAGCGAUAAGUCAUCCACCUGGGGAGUACGACCGCAAGGUUGAAACUCAAAUGAAUUGACGGGG
Molecule: ribosomal RNA, 393 nt
Filed under: uncultured bacterium
Lineage: Bacteria
Description: partial 16S ribosomal RNA
Rfam family: Bacterial small subunit ribosomal RNA
Source: RNAcentral